AAGGAACAGCAGCGUUUAGGGAGAAGCUGGGGAGGUGGUGGCCAUGGAAACUGCAGUGUGAAGAGGACAAGGGGAGAGCAGAGGCUGGGAAUCGGCCGCAGGGUGGACCAGGCUGGUUAAAGGGCGUUUCACCAGCCCAGCUUAGUUUGCUCUGGGCCCAUCCUUCCCGGCUCUUGACCCUUGGGGGCUCCAGCCUCUGGGAUCAGAGGUGAAUCUCAGGAUGGACUCUAAGGAUCUGGCAGAAGGCAAACGGAAGAGCUAAAGGAGGGCAAUAUGAAGGGAGACUUGGCCUUCGUGCCCAGGUGGAAUCUGCUAGUUUUCCCCUGGUGCUGGCGACAGCCUGCUGUACAAAGUGGGACACUCUCUCCAGGCUUCAACGCAAGACAUUUCUGGGAGACCUGCAGGGACUGCGCUGGGGCCAUCGGCUAUACAAGCUGGUCCUUGAGGGCAGCAUCUUAGAUCCAGAUGAAGGAUAACAGAAAAGUCCCAUUUGGUUCAAUUCUCUGUCUCUCUGACCUGCACUGGAAAUACCGUUUGAGAGUCUCCCAGUUGAAACCUUCCAUUAUCGGUGAUGGGGAAAAUGGAAAUUACUCUCCCCCCGACUUUUUAAGGGCUUCCCAGGUGGUGCUAGUGGAAAAACACGCCUGCCAAUGCAGGAGACAUAAAAGAUGAGGUUCAAUCCUUGGGUCAGGAAGAUCCCCUGGAAUAGGAAAAGGCAACCUGCUCCAGUAUUCUUGCCUGGAAAGUCCCAUGGACAGAGGAGCCUGGUGGACUACAGUCCAUGGGGUUGCAAAGAGUUGGACACAACUGAGCACACGCAUUUAUUUGGUUGCUCCGGUCUCAGUUGCGGCACACAGGAUCUUCGUUGCAGCUUGGGGAUCUUUAGUUGUGGCAUGUGGGAACUAGUUCCCUGACUGCAUUGAACACGG
Molecule: long non-coding RNA, 929 nt
Organism: Bos taurus (domestic cattle)
Lineage: Eukaryota; Metazoa; Chordata; Mammalia; Artiodactyla; Bovidae
Source: Ensembl